AUUGAACGCUGGCGGCAUGCCUUACACAUGCAAGUCGAACGGCAGCGCGGGGCAACCCUGGCGGCGAGUGGCGAACGGGUGAGUAAUACUUCGGAACGUGCCCAGUAGCGGGGGAUAACGCAGCGAAAGUUGUGCUAAUACCGCAUAUUCUCUACGGAGGAAAGAGGGGAUCGCAAGACCUCUCACUAUUGGAGCGGCCGAAGCCUAGAUUAGCUAGUUGGUGAGGUAAAAGCUCACCAAGGCGACGAUCAGUAGCUGGUCUGAGAGGACGACCAGCCACACUGGAACUGAGACACGGUCCAGACUCCAC
This 310-nucleotide ribosomal RNA is filed under the name uncultured bacterium. RNAcentral's name for it is "bacterial SSU rRNA". It matches the Rfam family "Bacterial small subunit ribosomal RNA", at positions 30 to 341 of the family's 1533-position model. The record is from RNAcentral.